UUUACUUUCCUUUCGUUUGCUGGCUUAUAUAUGCCACUAGUUUCAGCCCUUAUAGGCAUGUAAAUCGUGUAUGGGUGAAACCCUAAGCUGCAUGUGGCGUUCUCUACCUACUUUCCCCUUUUGCUAGGGCAAUAUAAUCUCUCUCUGAGCUAAUUUUAGCCUCCGAAUUGAGUUGCUAUUCGCCCUAUUUCAUCCGUCAGUAACUCUGUUCCUAACACGGUGCCGGCGCCCUUGCCCGCACCAAAGCCAGUGCGAGGAGCAACAACACCACGACCCGUGUGAUCGCCGUCGCAACUAGCUUCGAUAGCGCCAGUCCGGCCCGCCCCUAGAGCGCCUCGCGCGGC
Molecule: long non-coding RNA, 344 nt
Filed under: Hordeum vulgare
Lineage: Eukaryota; Viridiplantae; Streptophyta; Magnoliopsida; Poales; Poaceae
Description: long non-coding RNA (HVUL_LNC007100)
Source: RNAcentral